This 571-nucleotide ribosomal RNA is filed under the name uncultured Glomeromycotina. RNAcentral describes it as "SSU rRNA". It matches the Rfam family "Eukaryotic small subunit ribosomal RNA", at positions 548 to 1114 of the family's 1831-position model. The record is from RNAcentral. Lineage: Eukaryota; Fungi; Glomeromycota.
UUGGAGGGCAAGUCUGGUGCCAGCAGCCGCGGUAAUUCCAGCUCCAAUAGCGUAUAUUAAAGUUGUUGCAGUUAAAAAGCUCGUAGUUGAAUUUCGGGAUUGACACAUCGGUCGAGCCUUAAGGGGUAUGAACUGGUGUAGUCAAUUUCUCACCUUCUGGAGAACCGCGAUGCCCUUAAUUGGGUGCCGCGGGGAACCAGGACCUUUACUUUGAAAAAAUUAGAGUGUUUAAAGCAGGCAUUUUGCUUGAAUACAUUAGCAUGGAAUAAUAAAAUAGGACGGCAUGAUUCUAUUUUGUUGGUUUCUAGGAUCACCGUAAUGAUUAAUAGGGAUAGUUGGGGGCAUUAGUAUUCAAUUGUCAGAGGUGAAAUUCUUGGAUUUAUUGAAGACUAACUACUGCGAAAGCAUUUGCCAAGGAUGUUUUCAUUAAUCAAGAACGAAAGUUAGGGGAUCGAAGACGAUCAGAUACCGUCGUAGUCUUAACCAUAAACUAUGCCGACUAGGAAUCAGACGAUGUUAAUUUUUUAAUGACUCGUUUGGCACCUUACGGGAAACCAAAGUGUUUGGGUUC